This 277-nucleotide ribosomal RNA is filed under the name uncultured prokaryote. RNAcentral describes it as "partial 16S ribosomal RNA". It matches the Rfam family "Bacterial small subunit ribosomal RNA", at positions 524 to 800 of the family's 1533-position model. The record is from RNAcentral.
UACGUAGGUGGCGAGCGUUGUCCGGAUUUACUGGGCGUAAAGAGCACGUAGGCGGGAACCUAAGUCAGGUGUGAAAGACCGUGGCUCAACCACGGGGUGGCAUUUGAAACUGGGUUUCUUGAGGGCAGGAGAGGAAAGCAGAAUUCCUGGUGUAGCGGUGAAAUGCGUAGAAAUCAGGAGGAAUACCAGUGGCGAAGGCGGCUUUCUGGACUGACCCUGACGCUGAGGUGCGAAAGCGUGGGUAGCAAACAGGAUUAGAUACCCUGGUAGUCCCUGA